Molecule: ribosomal RNA, 155 nt
Filed under: Ceratobasidium sp. AG-D
Lineage: Eukaryota; Fungi; Basidiomycota; Agaricomycetes; Cantharellales; Ceratobasidiaceae
Description: 5.8S rRNA
Rfam family: 5.8S ribosomal RNA
About the family: 5.8S ribosomal RNA (5.8S rRNA) is a component of the large subunit of the eukaryotic ribosome. It is transcribed by RNA polymerase I as part of the 45S precursor that also contains 18S and 28S rRNA.
Source: RNAcentral
AAGUUUCAACAACGGAUCUCUUGGCUCUCGCAUCGAUGAAGAACGCAGCGAAAUGCGAUAAGUAAUGUGAAUUGCAAAAUUCAGUGAAUCAUCGAAUCUUUGAACGCACCUUGCGCUCCUUGGUAUUCCUCGGAGCACGCCUGUUUGAGUAUCAU